UAUUUACUGAGUGCCUCCCAUGUGCCAGGCCCUGCUUUUGUGGAUCUUGCAGUUUGGGUGGCAAGUAAAUCUUGAACAAACUCUUCUGAUGCACUCUGCUGUGAACUCUUAGGAGGACAAUAAUUACUGUAUAUUGAGGAAGAAACAUGGGUCACAUUACCAUUUCAACCUCUUGUUUACCUGAUGAGAUUAUACAAGGUUUAUCUCAGAAUGGAGAACUGAGCACAAGGGAAGAACAGGAAAAACAAAAGGAGAUGGAGAUGAAGAAAUGGCAGAAACUGGAAGAGAAGUAGAGAAUGAAACAAAGGAAACAAAGAGACAAAGAGGAAUACUACAGACAAAAGGACAAAGCAGAGUGAGUCUGCAGGCUAAAUAAUUACUGCUGUGUUGAAAUUCAGUGUCAUUAGGGUGCAUCUAAUUCUCACAGCACGUGCCCCCCAAAGAAGGAAAUAACAGGAGUAUAAAUCACUUAGCCAGUACUUAUGGAGACUUCAUUCCAUAUUAGAGCUAUAUAUAUAUAAUAUAUAUAUUAUAUAUAUUACAUCAGGAUUAGUGUUAGCUCUGUGAAAUGAAACAUCAAUAAGAGGACCAUAUGGUGCUGACUGUAUCCCCAACUAAUAUUUCAGCUCAGUUUCAAUUAUCAUAUUCAUCUGGCAGAAGCAUGGUGCCAGUAAACAGAAAUGGGUCACGGGAAGCCUAGGUGCUUGUUCUGGCAUACAUAUCAUUAUAUGACCUUGAGUGGCCAACUUCUGGGGCUCAGUUUCUUCAUUUGUUAAAUAUGAAUAAUAAUUCUCUGUUCUACUUAUUCCA
Long non-coding RNA from Heterocephalus glaber (naked mole-rat), 810 nucleotides. RefSeq lists it as uncharacterized. NCBI's taxonomy places the organism in Eukaryota, Metazoa, Chordata, Mammalia, Rodentia, Bathyergidae. The record is from RefSeq and is a predicted model, not a curated record.